RNAcentral lists this ribosomal RNA (497 nucleotides) under uncultured bacterium. RNAcentral describes it as "partial 16S ribosomal RNA". It matches the Rfam family "Bacterial small subunit ribosomal RNA", at positions 28 to 507 of the family's 1533-position model. The record is from RNAcentral.
GAUGAACGCUGGCGGCGUGCCUAAUACAUGCAAGUCGAGCGAACAGACGAGGAGCUUGCUCCUCUGACGCUAGCGGCGGACGGGUGAGUAACACGUGGAUAACCUACCUAUAAGACUGGGAUAACUUCGGGAAACCGGAGCUAAUACCGGAUAAUAUAUUGAACCGCAUGGUUCAAUAGUGAAAGACGGUUUUGCUGUCACUUAUAGAUGGAUCCGCGCCGCAUUAGCUAGUUGGUAAGGUAACGGCUUACCAAGGCGACGAUGCGUAGCCGACCUGAGAGGGUGAUCGGCCACACUGGAACUGAGACACGGUCCAGACUCCUACGGGAGGCAGCAGUAGGGAAUCUUCCGCAAUGGGCGAAAGCCUGACGGAGCAACGCCGCGUGAGUGAUGAAGGUCUUCGGAUCGUAAAACUCUGUUAUUAGGGAAGAACAAAUGUGUAAGUAACUAUGCACGUCUUGACGGUACCUAAUCAGAAAGCCACGGCUCACUACGUG